GGACACAGCUACAGCAGGACAAAGUCGCCGCUGAACUCAACGUCGAGGCCUUAACCAUCGACGACACCAAAACGCUCACAUCACUGCGGGAAACACUCAUAGAAAAUUAAAUUCUACAAGUUUUGUAAGAAAGUGGAGAUAGUAUUGAAGAGGCUCCCAACUGUCAAAAUCUGACAACAAUCCUACAGUCUUUUCCUCCAUUCGAAUCAAGGUUAAAG
Molecule: long non-coding RNA, 218 nt
Organism: Quercus lobata
Lineage: Eukaryota; Viridiplantae; Streptophyta; Magnoliopsida; Fagales; Fagaceae
Exons: 3
Source: RefSeq, a predicted model, not a curated record